Molecule: ribosomal RNA, 254 nt
Filed under: uncultured bacterium
Lineage: Bacteria
Description: partial 16S ribosomal RNA
Rfam family: Bacterial small subunit ribosomal RNA
Source: RNAcentral
CACGUAGGGUGCGAGCGUUGUCCGGAAUUAUUGGGCGUAAAGAGCUCGUAGGCGGUGUGUCGCGUCGGCCGUGAAAACCUGCAGCUUAACUGUGGGCUUGCGGUCGAUACGGGCAUCACUGGAGUUCGGCAGGGGAGACUGGAAUUCCUGGUGUAGCGGUGAAAUUCGUAGAUAUUAGGAAGAACACCAGUGGCGAAGGCGGCUCACUGGCUGAACACUGACGCUAAAGCGCGAAAGCGUGGGGAGCAAACAGG